RNAcentral lists this ribosomal RNA (492 nucleotides) under uncultured bacterium. RNAcentral describes it as "partial 16S ribosomal RNA". It matches the Rfam family "Bacterial small subunit ribosomal RNA", at positions 28 to 507 of the family's 1533-position model. The record is from RNAcentral.
GAUGAACGCUAGCUACAGGCUUAACACAUGCAAGUCGAGGGGAAACGACAUCGAAAGCUUGCUUUUGAUGGGCGUCGACCGGCGCACGGGUGAGUAACGCGUAUCCAACCUGCCCAUCACUUGGGGAUAACCUUGCGAAAGUAAGACUAAUACCCAAUGAUAUCUCUAGAAGACAUCUGAAAGAGAUUAAAGAUUUAUCGGUGAUGGAUGGGGAUGCGUCUGACUAGCUUGUUGGCGGGGUAACGGCCCACCAAGGCAACGAUCAGUAGGGGUUCUGAGAGGAAGGUCCCCCACAUUGGAACUGAGACACGGUCCAAACUCCUACGGGAGGCAGCAGUGAGGAAUAUUGGUCAAUGGGCGAGAGCCUGAACCAGCCAAGUAGCGUGUAGGAAGACGGCCCUAUGGGUUGUAAACUGCUUUUAUAAGGGAAUAAAGUGAGAGUCGUGACUCUUUUUGUAUGUACCUUAUGAAUAAGGACCGGCUAAUUCCGUG